RNAcentral lists this ribosomal RNA (291 nucleotides) under uncultured bacterium. RNAcentral's name for it is "partial 16S ribosomal RNA". It matches the Rfam family "Bacterial small subunit ribosomal RNA", at positions 773 to 1060 of the family's 1533-position model. The record is from RNAcentral.
GUGGAUUAGAUACCCUAGUAGUCCACGCCCUAAACGAUGCGAACUAGGUGUUGGGGAAGGAGACUUUCUUAGUACCGCAGCUAACGCGUGAAGUUCGCCGCCUGGGGAGUACGGUCGCAAGAUUAAAACUCAAAGGAAUUGACGGGGACCCGCACAAGCGGUGGAUGAUGUGGAUUAAUUCGAUGCAACGCGAAAAACCUUACCUACCCUUGACAUGUCAGGAAUCCUGAAGAGAUUUGGGAGUGCUCGAAAGAGAGCCUGAACACAGGUGCUGCACGGCUGUCGUCAACU